This 429-nucleotide long non-coding RNA is filed under the name Ananas comosus (pineapple). Its description in RNAcentral is "long non-coding RNA (ACOM_LNC030395)". The record is from RNAcentral. Lineage: Eukaryota; Viridiplantae; Streptophyta; Magnoliopsida; Poales; Bromeliaceae.
AUAGAUUACCUUGAUGAGUCAGCAUACCUCAACUCACCAACUUAAUCACUGAUCAAAUUUUGGAUUGCUACAGUAAUUUCGGCCGUCCGAAUUCCAGACCCAAAAGUUUUUUAUCUUUCUUUUAAAAUUUGGUGUCCGCAUCCUAGUUCCUAAUUAGAAUCAGCACAAUAGUUGUAAUAUACCGAAAUUUUGGUAGGUUGUACCGAACUUCAGUCGAAUUGACCGAAGUGUGGUGUUGGACUAGAUGGUGAGGCCCGUGAGACGUUCGGAAUGUUUCGAAAUGGUUUGGAUAGGGUGUGGGGACCUUGGAGAGGAAAUCUAGAAAAAUUGGAAUUGUUUGAGCGUGUUUUGCUUUCGGGGUCCGGACCCUAAGUGCAGGGUCCGGACCCCAUACACUCAGAAAGUCUGGGUGGUCCAGAAUAGUAUUUU